Molecule: long non-coding RNA, 1077 nt
Filed under: Elaeis guineensis (African oil palm)
Lineage: Eukaryota; Viridiplantae; Streptophyta; Magnoliopsida; Arecales; Arecaceae
Description: long non-coding RNA (EGUI_LNC004876)
Source: RNAcentral
CCGUAGUCUAUAUAAGACUACGAGUCCAAACAGCAUGGGACACUGAAAGCAGCAUAUUUUUUCUCUACUCUUCUCUCUCUUCUACUUCCUCUUACUAUUUAAUCGCUCUUCCAUUUAAAUUGUUAAGUUUUGAUUUUGAGAGAUCUGUCAACCCUCUCCACGAUUGUGCUCAAAGAGAGAAUAUCCUGAUCGUAUUUUGGGGUAGAAUUCUCAAUAAACACUGACAUGAGUAUCAGAAAUUUAUCUUAAGACAGUGACUAUACGCUUUCGAACUUCAUUUCUAUUUCUGCAUUAUAAAUUAACAAACCAAUUCAACCAGACUCUCGAUAGGUCAAUUCUUACUCUUAUUUUUAUCAUAUAGUUUAGAUAAGCCUGAAGUUUAUCAAAAUUAUUGCUUUAAUAGGAUCCUCUUUGCAGAAGGACUUUGAUACAACAACCUCCUCCUCGUAGGAUUCCAACUGUGAGAGACCUUCUCCCUGCUGAGCACCUUCUCCCUGCUGAGCAUUUUUUUAUUUUUAUAUAAAUGACAGGUGGUAUUCUACCAUCCAAUUUAUUAAGAUAGAAAGAUAAAGAGGUAUAUUUGCUAGGUGGAGGAUCAUCCAGACUGGUGGCCCUACUUGGACUCGACCGCUCAAUGACAAGGUCAGUUGCUAGCUAUCAUUAUUGUGACCACCAAUAAAGCAGUUAUGGGAUAUCUCAAAACUUUUUGUCAAGAAAUUGAACUACUCCAAUGAGUCCCACCCUUUAAUCAAAAAUGUGCAUGAUUUUCAAGGCUUUCCAUAAACUUUUCUUUCUCCGUAGGUUUUAACUAUGAAGUUAUUUUAUGUUAUUCCUCCACUCUCCCUAUUUUAUCUGCCUCUAUUUUACAACUGCGUCUUCCACGUGUUAUAAACAAAGUUCUUCUGCAAGGAGAGUUCUAUCAAAUUGAGGACUAUUUUAAAUAAAAAUUUUGAUAACCUACUAAUUUAUCUAAACUAUAUGAUAAAGAUGAGAAUAAGAAAUUUGACUUAUCGAGAGCUUGAUUAGAUUGGCUCGUUAAUUUAUGAUGCCAAUAAAGAAAAAAUCCGGAUGCAUGUA